AGAGUUUGAUCAUGGCUCAGAAUCAACGCUGGCGGCGCGCUUAACACAUGCAAGUCGAACGAGAAAGCGGGGGCAACCUCGCAAGUACAGUGGCGUACGGGUGAGUAACACGUGGGUAAUCUACCCUUGAGUGGGGAAUAACGCUGGGAAACCGGCGCUAAUACCGCAUAAGCUCGAGAGAGGAAAGCAGCAAUGCGCUG
RNAcentral lists this ribosomal RNA (200 nucleotides) under uncultured bacterium. RNAcentral describes it as "partial 16S ribosomal RNA". It matches the Rfam family "Bacterial small subunit ribosomal RNA", at positions 8 to 220 of the family's 1533-position model. The record is from RNAcentral.